Acinonyx jubatus (cheetah) is the source of this 2457-nucleotide long non-coding RNA. RefSeq lists it as uncharacterized. The record is from RefSeq and is a predicted model, not a curated record. The transcript has 3 exons. NCBI's taxonomy places the organism in Eukaryota, Metazoa, Chordata, Mammalia, Carnivora, Felidae.
UUUAUUUUUUAAAAAUUUUUUUAGGGUUUAUUCAUUUUUUAGAGACAGAGCAUGAGUGGGGGAGGGGUAGAGAGAGAGGGAGACACAGAAUCCGAAGCAGGCUCCAGGCUCUGAGCUGUCAGCAGAGAGCCUGAGGCGGGGCUCGAACCCACGAACUGUGAGAUCAUGACCUGAGCUAAAGUCAGACGCUCAGCCGACUGAGCCACCCAGGCUCCCCAUGACUGAGAAUUUUAAGUUCCUGCAUUGGAGAUGUCCGAAGGGUGCUCUUUUUUGUGCUUUCUUUGAUGUGUCUACAUACAGAAUCCCGUCCCCUGUGUUUAGAGAGAGUUUUACUUCUUCCUGACCAUGUCGGUUGCCCGUGACUCCUUUUUCUUGCCUAGCUGCUCUGGCUAGAAUUUCCAGCAGCGAUGAAAGCAGCCAAUCUGCUCUUUAUCAUGUUGAGGAAGUUCCCUUCUAUUUCUGGUUUCCUGGGUGUGUUUUUUAUCGUGAAAGGAGGUUGGGUUUUGCGAAAGAAGAGGUUUCUUUUCUGCACCGAUUGAGAUGAUCAUGUGUUUCCCCCCUCCAUUCUAUUAAUGUGGGGUAUUAUGUUGAUUGAUUUUUUUCCCAUGUUGAACAGCCUUGCAUUCCCGGGAUAAAUCCCAUUUAGUCAUGGUGUGUAACCUUUUUCAUAUGCUGCUGAGUCUGGUUUGCUAGUAUCUUGUUGAGGAUUUUACACUAUCGUCAUAAAGGAUGUUGGUCUAUAGUCUUUUUUUCUUGUGAUGUCUUCGGCUUUGAUAUCAGGGUAAUGCUGACCUUGUGGAAUGACCUCAUGUUCUUUUCUCUCUUAUUUUUUUUUUUUGAAGACUUUGAGGAAUACUGGUGUUAAUUCUUCUUUAAACAUUUGGUAGAAUUCACUGGGAAAGCCAUCUGUUCCUGAAUUUUUCUUUCUUGGGAGGUUUUUAAUUACUGAUUCAACCCCUUUAAUGUUCUAGUGUUGCAGGUGAGUGGGAGAGACGCUGGUCCUUGUCUCACCGAGUUGAGCAAUGAAUCUCGCAGACACGAGAGUGAGCAAAGAGACAGAGUAUACUGAGCCAAGUACAAAGCUCUCAAGGGAUCCCUCACUGCCAUGGGGGACCAAGGACAGUGACAGUUCUGGCUUCUUCAAGCUGAAGAGGGACAGCAGAAGGGUAUGGCACUCAGAGUCUACCAAGGGUCUGUCGAGUGGUCCCCGGUUAUGGCUCCACAGGAAGGCUGGCAGGCAUGAGGCGGCACAGACAUCGGCAGCCACAAAGAGAAAACCACAAAUGACUGUGCUGACCAACAAGAUGGCGCCCGUAAGAUCCUGCCCCCAAUUUCCAAACCACUCUUCCUUUUUCUCAUGUUCAACUGUUGGACAUUUGCCGUGAUUGUUGUUGAAACUGAACUAAAGAAGUAAAUGUUUAACUUGGGCAUUUAUCUCAGGAUCCAAUAAAAAGUCAUCUGUCAGGGGCGCCUGGGUGGCUCAGUCAGUUGAGCUCCUGACUCUUGGUUUCAGCUCAGGUCAUGAGCUCACGGUUCGGGAGUUUGAGCCCUGCAUCAGUCUCUGCACUGACAGCACGGAGCCUGCUUUGGAUUCUCUCUCUCUCUCCCUUCCCAUCCUCGCUCUCUCUUCUCUCUCUCUCUCUCUAAAAUAAAAUAAAAAGCCAUUUAUCGGAAAGGCACCUCCGUAGAACAGUUUGUAUGGACUGAAACCCUGGACCUGUGGGUAUUUCUUACCCUGAUGAGUGCUAUGGGAAGGGUAGAAGGCCGUGGGAGGUGAGUCUUCUGGGACAGUUUCCUUAAGUGUUUUUUUUAAGAUAUCAUUUACUCGUUCUACUUUACCAGGGGAUCGAGGUCUCCAAGAGCAGUCCGAGCGAUAAUCUUUCCUCAGGGCCUUCGACAUCUCUUGGCUAAUGCCAGCUUUGAAAGAGGGCCCGUGAUCACUUUGCAGAUUUUUAGGUAAGCUGAACCUGGGCAUUAUUUUAUAAAGCAGAGCUUUUAUUACUUCUGUGCUUUUUCCGUUUUGCAGGGGAAGGCCUCUACCCAAUUAGAAAAGCAUCAGCCCGUACCAACAGAUGCUGGAGCCCUUUUGACCUUGGCACCUGCAUGCACUCUGAUUGCCCGUCUUCUCCUGGAUGGCUUCCAGUUCUCUGACUGCCUGGGAGGGCAAGGUCGUGGUUCAAAGGAUUGUUUCUAAGACAGACGUCACAGGCCAAAACUACUUGUUGAACUGUCCUUGACAGAUUUUUCCUGCAUCGAUCUGACCAUGAGAUAGUACUGUGCUGAGUACUUCCCUCAGGAGGCCAGGACUCUCCACCCCCCAGGCGAUACUGAGGCCAAGCCUGGGAACAACCACCACUACAACAAACUUCAUGCACUUCUCUUUGAGCAUUUGUGGAUCCAAUCUUUCCCAAUUUUUCCGAACACCUUCCAGAGGAGUUUCGCAGCUCGAGAUCCCGA